UACGAACCGUCCGAACGUUAUUCGGAAUUACUGGGCUUAAAGGGUGCGUAGGCGGCGCGGAAAGUAGGGUGUGAAAUCCCUCGGCUCAACCGAGGAACUGCGUCCUAAACUACCGUGCUCGAGGGAGAUAGAGGUGAGCGGAACUUAGGGUGGAGCGGUGAAAUGCGUUGAUAUCCUAAGGAACACCGGUGGCGAAAGCGGCUCACUGGAUCUCUUCUGACGCUGAGGCACGAAAGCUAGGGUAGCGAACGGG
RNAcentral lists this ribosomal RNA (253 nucleotides) under uncultured bacterium. RNAcentral's name for it is "partial 16S ribosomal RNA". It matches the Rfam family "Bacterial small subunit ribosomal RNA", at positions 524 to 776 of the family's 1533-position model. The record is from RNAcentral.